RNAcentral lists this ribosomal RNA (468 nucleotides) under uncultured bacterium. RNAcentral describes it as "partial 16S ribosomal RNA". It matches the Rfam family "Bacterial small subunit ribosomal RNA", at positions 28 to 507 of the family's 1533-position model. The record is from RNAcentral.
GACGAACGCUGGCGGCGUGCUUAACACAUGCAAGUCGAACGGAAAGGCCCUGCUUUUGUGGGGUGCUCGAGUGGCGAACGGGUGAGUAACACGUGAGUAACCUGCCCUUGACUUUGGGAUAACUUCAGGAAACUGGGGCUAAUACCGGAUAGGAGCUCCUGCUGCAUGGUGGGGGUUGGAAAGUUUCGGCGGUUGGGGAUGGACUCGCGGCUUAUCAGCUUGUUGGUGGGGUAGUGGCUUACCAAGGCUUUGACGGGUAGCCGGCCUGAGAGGGUGACCGGCCACAUUGGGACUGAGAUACGGCCCAGACUCCUACGGGAGGCAGCAGUGGGGAAUAUUGCACAAUGGGCGGAAGCCUGAUGCAGCAACGCCGCGUGCGGGAUGACGGCCUUCGAGUUGUAAACCGCCUUCGCCUGUGACGAAGCGUGAGUGACGGUAAUGGGUAAAGAAGCACCGGCUAACUACGUG